This is an RNA transcript of Temnothorax curvispinosus, 4539 nucleotides long. It is a transcript of the gene named condensin-2 complex subunit D3-like, with no coding region annotated. Lineage: Eukaryota; Metazoa; Arthropoda; Insecta; Hymenoptera; Formicidae. The record is from RefSeq and is a predicted model, not a curated record. The transcript is spliced from 3 exons.
UUCGUCUCGCGCUUCCCGUCACGAUAAACGAAAUGUUUCACGAUAAAUUCUCCGCGAGGACACACGCCGACAGCUCGCACUGUAGAAGGACCGUAAAAUCAUUAUCGAUACUCGUGCAGAGGAUGAUAACCUGAAACCCCGCCGCACCUCUAUCCCGUGGCACGCUAUCGUGACGAUAAGUUAAGGUUAUGUUUACGUCGCGCGGGUGCCGCGCUCGCGAGGGCGAGGAAUGAUAGCGGGUGCCGCGUUUUGAAAUCGUCGCCAAUCGUCACGACGACCGCAGUCAUGGAAUCGCUGCGCGUGUUUCACAGUUUUAAGCUCGACACCCUCGACGAGGGCUGGAUCAAGUCGAUCUGGGACGCCGAGUUCGUCGUUUACGACGAGCCGCCCGACGAGUCGCUCGAGUACCUGGAGAGCGACGGCGCGAGGCUGCUGCUGCGCGAGUCUCGGGUCGUCCUGAAGGAAUGGCUCGCCGCGAACGAGCACGAGACGUCCGAGUUCUCGUGGCAGGCCCUGAUGAUUCUCAACAUCAACGUGCGCAGGCUGCUUGCCAUGCUGGGUUACAUAAUGAAGGCUGGCCAGCACGCCGAGACCGACGAGGAUUCCAGACAGGCGUGCCUGGAGGCCACGAGCCUUUACCUCAUGCUCCUCACGAUACCGGGCAGCAACGCGUUCAGGGUUUACCAUCCGAACUUGUACCAGCGAGCGAUCGAGACGCUGAAGAUGUCGCAGAGUUUGUUCCCCCCGGUCAGAAGCGGUAAGGAAGUAGAUAUGAUAAAUUCCAGCGUCGACGACGACGAGCCGUCGUCGGACCGUCGCGGCCGGACGUUGCAUUCCGAGAGGUCGAAGCUCGCGCGAGGACUCGAUAGAAUUAUUUCUGAUCUAAUUGCCAUGUCGAAGUCGUUUCGUUUUAAAGAGCACACCGACUCCCUGGACGUCACGAUACGCAUGCUGCUGGAUAUCACGAGGCUGGAGAUGUACAUCAGGUCACACAACAAUUACGGAAUAGCGUCUCUGUCCCGUAACGCGUUUGCAGCUCUGCAGGAGCUGUGCAGCAGCAGUCACGGAACUGUCGCCCUGACGAUAAUGUUAAUAGCGCAGUACAUGCUGCCCGAUCUGUUGUUCCAUCACGUAAACGCCCAACCGAAAUCUAUAACCAUUGUGCACGAGGCGGCUAUAUAUUUUCUGAAAAAUUUAUUGAAGAUUCACCAGCGGGAGACCGUGCAGGGAAUCGUUACUUUGAUACACCAAUUAAUGGUGAAGUGUCCGGAAAGAUUGGAGGGACGUCAGAGGCAAGCGGCCGUCGUGAUAAAACUGUUGAAUAUAUGUAACAAAGACGUUGUCGUAAGUGUUUUCGAGGACAUAAUAUUAUUCUCGCGCAGCGGUAAGAUAUCUUGCAGAUUAUUCGCGCAGGAGAUUGUAGGAAAGCUUUUAACGGAAUCGUCUUUGUCGAACAACGAUUUAGACAAGGAGAUCAAGCUGAGGAUGAGAAAGAUUUUGAUAGCGAUUGUAUUGUCCCGUUGUACGGAUCGGUCUUCCUUGGUGAGGGGGAAAGCUAUGGCCACGCUUGCCUCGUUUUCUGAUUGCAACGACGACGCCGACAAGACCAUUCUUAAAAGCAUGUUCGAAGCUUCAGCCUCGCAUAAAACCUUUCCCAUGCUUGACGAGCUGAAAGGAGCGUUAUUGGAGGACGUUGAUCCGUUGCCGGGAUCAACCGCUUUAAUCGCAAUGUUGCUGGACAGAGUCAACGACGAGCGCGCGCUGGUACGACGGAGCGCUUUGAAGAUCUCGAGAAACCUGUCCAUCAUGUUCCCGUCACUUAUAAGCAAAAUGACGCACGUGAUAAGCGAUCGUUGCAGGGAUCCCACUUUGACCGUGCGCCAGUUUGCCGUGCACGUCCUGUCGGAGAUCCUGCAGCAGUUCCCUCACGAUUCGGGUCUUCUCGACGAAUGGAUACAGGCUGUUGUACCGCAGAUAUACGACAUCGAAGCCAAAGUUCAAGAAAAAGUGCUGGAGUGCCUGGGAAACGUAUUGAUAAAUAGAAUAACGAGCGCUACUAUGUACAUUCCAGACGCUGCGAAUAGCCUGCCGUGGAGGAUCCUGGAUAGAUUGAGUAACCUGAGAAUGAGGAAACAUUUGUCGAAAGCUUGCAGCUUAUGGGUGAAGAACGGCGACAUUACCAAGUCUGUGAUAUCGAAUUUGCAGUCGCACGUCGGUACGGACAACACUAUAGGCGCGUGGAUACUGCUGGCCGCUCUAGCCGAGAAUAUGAAGAUUCCGAGUAUAGAUAGAUAUAUCGUGGAUUACAAGGAAGUCAUCCGGAAGAACGAUUUCCACGCGAGUUUGGUUCUACACGUUUUAAGGUACGCCUGGUCGGUUUUGGAUCGCGAUUGCCUCGAGGACCUCUAUCAGCAUCUUUACAAAUGUAUUUGCCACUUCGAGAUCAAUUUCAACUUGAUCAGCAUUUGCCUGGACAUCCUGAGUAGCAUAUUACGAUACUUGGACGCCGUUAAAAGCAGCCAUUUGAUAGAAUCGAACAUGGUGGAGCUGAUGAAGUUGUCGGAGGCGAAGGUACAGGACUUGCUGGAAGAGAGCGAGAGCUGUACGCAAGACACGGUGAAGAUGAGAGCUAUAUUUACCCUGGGCCACUCGUCGCUCUUGUGCACCAACAAGAUUUCGUCGUCGACUUUGCAAAUUCUCGGAAGAUUACUGUUGCAGUGGGAAUCACUGCCGGACACGGUGAAGGAAAUAAAAGAUCUACAGGCGUCCGCGGUGGUUCUGCUUUGUCAGCAAGCGCUGAGGGAUCGCGAAGUGGCGAAGGAAGUCACGCCGAUACUCGGUAACCUGAUGCGCCAGGAAACGAAUCCGAACUCGCUGACGAAGACCGCCGUCAAGAUAAACGCCGCGAAAGCGCUGGCCGACAUCUGCGUGAGAUUCACCGCUCUGGUGGAGCCGUACCUGCCGGAUUUGUGCAUCAGCAUGAAGGACCCGAAUCCAGCCGUGAGGGAAGCUAUAGUGGUGAUAUUCAUUCAGCUGUUGCUGGAGGAUUUUAUAAAGAUGAAGGGACCAUUUUUCUUUCACAUAUUGACGAUGCUGUCGGACACGGACAGGAUGAUACGCGAACUGACGACCUUCCUAGUGGAAGAGAGACUCUUGAUGAAGAACAAGACUUUGAUCUCCCAACAGUUUCUGGAGAGCAUAUAUCAUUACAACAACUGCCGCUCCCGGAGCGCGUUCUGCGGACACGGGAUGCGCGAUCAGGAGAGGAAGCUUCUAACGCUGCCCGGGAGAGCGAAUCGGGACAAACGUAAUGUCAUUUACGAAUUUAUGCUCGAACAUUUGGACGUGUCCGCGAAGUCUGAACUGCUUGUGAAACUGACCAAGUACGUACUUCGCGAGAUAUCCGACGAGAAUUCUAUCGACGUCACGACCGAGGAGGGUGCGUGCGUCUUGAAGGACGCGGUGUUCAUAAUUAACAAUAAUCGUAUGCAACCGUCGUCCCUCGUUGAGAAACACAGGGGUGAUACGUCGGAGCUUGAUGACACGACCUCGAGUCCCUCGUGUACGCCUAACAACAACGCCACGAACGUCAUUAUAGCGGCAAUGAAGAAACAUAAUUUAGAUAAUUUAUUACCUACGUUAAUUACGCUUAAGAAAAAGCUGGCUGCACUGAAGUCUCCCUUGGAGGACGACGUAGAUGGUCUGCUAUUCAAGAUUUACUCGGAAUACGAAAAAGAACAUCUGAUAAACUUAUUAAACGAAUAUCCUGAAUUGGAAAAAGAAAUGGAUCGUUACCAACGGAGACUGAAAGACAAAAUUAAUUCAGAGAACGAUGACGGUAAAAGCAGCAGUUUGUCACCUAAUGUAAAUAAGGAGCUGGCGGAAAUAUGUAAGCAAACGACACCCCGAGUUCUACUUCACCGUAUUUCACGCUCAACGAUAUCGUGCUGUAAGAGCAAUGAAUCAGUAGAUUCCGGUAAUCGCUCGCAAAUCGCAUCAACUUACGACGCGUUAAUUAAAGGUUCGUCGGUGCAUCCGGAAAGAUCGUUGCUGAUACAAACGCCACCUCCAGAGCCGAGCUUCGGUACCAGCACGCCUAUAUUGACGCAAAAUCUAGAUUCCUAUUCCAACGAGUCUCCCGCUCAAAGAAUACGCGUGAAAAGGCCCUUGAGCGACCAAGAAAUAUCGUCGGAUAUGUCUCGACGUAAAAUUCUAAGGGACAGCGUGAGCUAUGAUAAUUUCGAUCUCAGUUUCGAACAUUAGAUGAGUCGUUCACGAAAUCUACGUACAAAUCUACCUACCUCGUAACUUUCGCUGCACGCGAAAAGCCGUCUGCGAGAUCGUGCACGUGCGAGUCUCCAAUUCUUUUUGAUAUUGUUAUGCAAGUUCUUCACGAUAGAAACGUUUUCGACUAUAAGAUGGAUCAGAGCGCGUAUUUCCUCGGCCUACAUCAACACGGUGUGUCUCAAUUAUUACGAUUAUGAAAGAGUGCAAGGUACACAGUUUUGAACUGGAUAGCGUUUAUACGUACUUCGUCGA